This 497-nucleotide ribosomal RNA is filed under the name uncultured bacterium. RNAcentral's name for it is "partial 16S ribosomal RNA". It matches the Rfam family "Bacterial small subunit ribosomal RNA", at positions 28 to 507 of the family's 1533-position model. The record is from RNAcentral.
GACGAACGCUGGCGGCGUGCCUAAUACAUGCAAGUUGAGCGCUGAAGGUUGGUACUUGUACCGACUGGAUGAGCAGCGAACGGGUGAGUAACGCGUGGGGAAUCUGCCUUUGAGCGGGGGACAACAUUUGGAAACGAAUGCUAAUACCGCAUAAAAACUUUAAACACAAGUUUUAAGUUUGAAAGAUGCAAUUGCAUCACUCAAAGAUGAUCCCGCGUUGUAUUAGCUAGUUGGUGAGGUAAAGGCUCACCAAGGCGAUGAUACAUAGCCGACCUGAGAGGGUGAUCGGCCACAUUGGGAAUGAGACACGGCCCAAACUCCUACGGGAGGCAGCAGUAGGGAAUCUUCGGCAAUAGACGAAAGUCUGACCGAGCAACGCCGCGUGAGUGAAGAAGGUUUUCGGAUCGUAAAACUCUGUUGGUAGAGAAGAACGUUGGUGAGAGUGGAAAGCUCAUCAAGUGACGGUAACUACCCAGAAAGGGACGGCUAACUACGUG